Non-coding RNA from Protopterus annectens (West African lungfish), 585 nucleotides. The record is from the annotation of a RefSeq genome assembly. Lineage: Eukaryota; Metazoa; Chordata; Ceratodontiformes; Protopteridae.
UUAUUCCUUCAUAGCAUUUUCACCAUGUUCUGGGUGUUAGUUAUUACCAUGCUUAUAGCCUACUGGGACAGUUGCAAAGCCCAGCUUAGCUUGUCUCAGCCUCCCACACAAUCAGUACCUGUAGGACAAACAGUGAAACUGCCCUGCACCAUGACUGGGGGCAGCAUCAGUAGCUUCUAUGUGUCCUGGCACCAGCAGCGACCUGGGACUGCACCACGAUACCUUCUGUACUACUAUACUGAUUCUGAUAAGCACCAAGGCACUGGGGUUCCAGCUCGAUUCUCUGCAUCUAAGGAUAACUCUCAGAACAUCUGCUAUUUAACCAUCUCUGGUGCCCAGGCAGAGGAUGAAGCAGAUUAUUACUGCAGUGUAGGACCUCACAGUGAUACAGCUGUACAAGGAACUGAACCAGAAACCUUCUGCCUCACCACAUGUGCCUCUACACAGUGCAUGCAUAUACAGAGCAGUAUUUACAGAACAGACAGCAAACUGCUGCAGGUCAAAUAUAAGAAUUAUGUACUAUGGAAAUGGAAGAUCUAUAAGACUAUCCUGAGGGUUGUAGUACUUGAGGGACUUGUGGAUUAG